CCCUUAGAUGUUCUGGGCUGCACGCGUGCUACAAUGGCGCUUGCAACAAGUCUUGCCAACCCGAUAGGGUGAGCGGUUCUUUGAAGAGGCGUCGUGAUCGGGACAGUUGAUUGCAAUUAUUCGACUCGAACGAGGAAUUCCUUGUAAUCGCGAUUCAUCAUAUCGCGCUGAAUACGUCCCUGCCCUUUGUACACACCGCCCGUCGCUCCUACCGAUUGAGCGAUCCGGUGAAUGUUUUGGACUGGCGUCAGAAGCGGUUCGCUCCUGACACUACGAAAUUUUGUAAACCUUAUCGCUUAGAGGAAGGAAAAGUCGUAACA
RNAcentral lists this ribosomal RNA (320 nucleotides) under uncultured eukaryote. RNAcentral's name for it is "partial 18S ribosomal RNA". It matches the Rfam family "Eukaryotic small subunit ribosomal RNA", at positions 1470 to 1796 of the family's 1831-position model. The record is from RNAcentral.